Molecule: ribosomal RNA, 253 nt
Filed under: uncultured bacterium
Lineage: Bacteria
Description: partial 16S ribosomal RNA
Rfam family: Bacterial small subunit ribosomal RNA
Source: RNAcentral
UCCGUAGGGGGCAAGCGUUGUCCGGAAUCAUUGGGCGUAAAGAGCGUGUAGGCGGCCCGGUAAGUCCGCUGUGAAAGUCCAGGGCCCAACCCUGGGAUGCCGGUGGAUACUGUCGGGCUCGAGUCCGGAAGAGGAGUGUGGAAUUCCUGGUGUAGCGGUGAAAUGCGCAGAUAUCAGGAGGAACACCAAUGGCGAAGGCAGCACUCUGGGACGUGACUGACGCUGAGACGCGAAAGCGUGGGGAGCAAACAGG